Molecule: transfer RNA, 71 nt
Filed under: Patescibacteria group bacterium
Lineage: Bacteria
Description: tRNA-Thr
Rfam family: tRNA
About the family: Transfer RNA (tRNA) molecules are approximately 80 nucleotides in length.
Source: RNAcentral
GCCACCUUAGCUCAAUGGCAGAGCAGUAGUUUUGUAAACUACGGAUGCGGGUUCGAUUCCUGCAGGUGGCU